UCUCCGUAGGUGAACCUGCGGAAGGAUCAUUCAUAAUAAAGCGUUUUAUGGCGCUUUUUAAAAAUCCAUAUCCACCUUGUGUGCAAUGUUAGAUCUCGUCAAUCUUGGCGAGAUUUUUAUACAUCAACUCAUUCCUUAACUAAUUUGUCUGAAAAAUAUUAUGAAUACUUAAUUCAAAAUACAACUUUCAACAACGGAUCUCUUGGCUCUC
RNAcentral lists this unclassified non-coding RNA (211 nucleotides) under plant metagenome. RNAcentral describes it as "partial contains small subunit ribosomal RNA, internal transcribed spacer 1, and 5.8S ribosomal RNA". The record is from RNAcentral.